RNAcentral lists this ribosomal RNA (254 nucleotides) under uncultured bacterium. RNAcentral describes it as "partial 16S ribosomal RNA". It matches the Rfam family "Bacterial small subunit ribosomal RNA", at positions 524 to 776 of the family's 1533-position model. The record is from RNAcentral.
UACGUAGGGGGCGAGCGUUGUCCGGAUUUACUGGGCGUAAAGGGCGCGUAGGCGGCCAGCGCAAGUCGAUUGUGAAAUCUCCGGGCUUAACUCGGAAAGGUCAGCUGAUACUGCGGGGCUAGAGUGCAGAAGGGGCAACUGGAAUUCUCGGUGUAGCGGUGAAAUGCGUAGAUAUCGAGAGGAACACCUGCGGCGAAGGCGGGUUGCUGGGCUGACACUGACGCUGAGGCGCGAAAGCUAGGGGAGCGAACGGG